UCUGGAGGCUGCUAAGGAAAGGGAGGACUACCCUGGGAGUAACGCAGAUCAGAAGACCCCAGUGGACCCCUCUGGUGGAAUCCGACCUUAACCCUCAGCACAGAGCUGGGAGGUCCAUCAGACUUUGGGGAACAGAGCCCCUGGAGAGAAUAAAAGGAGCAGCAUGCCCUGCAUGAAGCAGACGCAUUGAGGGACAGAGUGAAGAGCAGGCAGUGAAGAGCUGGGGAAGAUCUACCAGUGGACAGAAGCUGUAGCCCAGAAGAGCCCCUGAAGACUCCCUCGGUGGGACUGGAGUGGCAAGCGGCUUCGGCCACAGCCCACCCCCAGCCAGUGCACAGCACAGUGCAUGAG
Molecule: long non-coding RNA, 351 nt
Organism: Alligator sinensis (Chinese alligator)
Lineage: Eukaryota; Metazoa; Chordata; Crocodylia; Alligatoridae
Exons: 3
Source: RefSeq, a predicted model, not a curated record